Molecule: non-coding RNA, 99 nt
Filed under: chicken gut metagenome
Description: THF riboswitch
Rfam family: THF (Tetrahydrofolate) riboswitch aptamer
About the family: THF riboswitch presents a pseudoknot that joins P1-P2 and the loop of P3 and two THF binding.
Source: RNAcentral
CAGAGUAGAGCCUUUAGCGUUAAGUGCCGCGGGGACGGGGAGUUGUCCCGCGGACGAAAACGGGAGAGCCGUUGCGGUUAGGGGCUUGCAUCCCGCUGU